CGAUACCCAUUUUAGCUUGUUGUGUGUAGACGUCAAGAUCUGGGUAAAUUGGACUUGGAGAAAUUUUUCGCAUGUCUGUCGAGGCGUUUAAUCCGAAAAAAGCAUGAAGGAACUUCAGAUGGCGAAAACUUCUGACUGGCAUUCUACGCAGCUUAUCAGGCCGGAAUAAAGUUGGUCAGCUUAGAAGUAGUAUCCCGAACUCGGUUCCGAUGCAGGCGGAAAGAAUAUUCAACGGGCACCAUCUGUAAUGGUCACAGGAUCUGUCUCAGCUCGAGUGUCAGCUUGGUGCGAAAGUUUUAGCAAAAAUUUAAACAGUGCUUGGGAAAGAAGGUUGCAACAUGCAAAUGUGAAUCGUUUCCAUCGUCAAAGGAGCCGUUUUGCGAUAAAUUUAUUAAUACUUAAUGUAGAAAACUUGAGACAUCAAUAAAUCGGUUAUGUUGUAGUUUA
Molecule: long non-coding RNA, 447 nt
Organism: Aedes albopictus (Asian tiger mosquito)
Lineage: Eukaryota; Metazoa; Arthropoda; Insecta; Diptera; Culicidae
Exons: 3
Source: RefSeq, a predicted model, not a curated record